This is a non-coding RNA of Ceratobasidium sp. 423, 91 nucleotides long. The record is from the annotation of a GenBank genome assembly. NCBI's taxonomy places the organism in Eukaryota, Fungi, Basidiomycota, Agaricomycetes, Cantharellales, Ceratobasidiaceae.
GCCCUUAUAGCUCAGUGGUAGAGCGCAUCACUAGUAAAGCACAAGUAACUUGUGCAUGAUGAGGUCCUCUGUUCGAUCCAGGGUGAGGGCA